AUUUAUUUAUUUAUUUUUUUACUUUCUUUGAUAGAAAUUCUGGCCUAAUAUGGCUUUUGUACCUGUCUUUUUAGUUAGUUCUCUUAGAUUGGAAGAAGAAUUCUUUUUAUAGUUUAGCUUAACAAAAUGAUUUUCAAGCAACCAUAAAUAUCAUAAAUAUCAAGAUAGGCUUUUGUGAUACCACCAGUUUAUAAAUGGUAGAGAACCUUUAAACGAAUCUACUCAGACAUCAACGAAUUCUCAUUCAGUAUCUAUGUAUGUAAAGGUAUAUGUAAAAAAUAUAAAUUUUAUUCUCCAAAUCCUUGUAAGGAUAUUUCUUUUCUUCUUGCAAUUUUAUUGAGUAUAAAUGUUUGAACAAGUUAAUGUUCUUUAUUUUAUAGUUGUAUCCCUAUCUGUACUCUAGUUAUAUGAAUGAAAUCUUUCGAAGAAAAGAAAAAACUAUAAAGGAGAGAGAGAGAGAGAGA
This 464-nucleotide unclassified non-coding RNA is filed under the name Hevea brasiliensis (rubber tree). Lineage: Eukaryota; Viridiplantae; Streptophyta; Magnoliopsida; Malpighiales; Euphorbiaceae. The record is from RNAcentral.